Molecule: transfer RNA, 72 nt
Organism: Camelus ferus (Wild Bactrian camel)
Lineage: Eukaryota; Metazoa; Chordata; Mammalia; Artiodactyla; Camelidae
Rfam family: tRNA
About the family: Transfer RNA (tRNA) molecules are approximately 80 nucleotides in length. Their secondary structure includes four short double-helical elements and three loops (D, anti-codon, and T loops).
Source: Rfam
AGGGAAAUAGCUCAGUGGUAGAGCGAGUGCUUGCCAUGCCCGAGGUCCUGGGUUCAAUCCCCAGUACCUCCA